Long non-coding RNA from Acinonyx jubatus (cheetah), 1457 nucleotides. RefSeq lists it as uncharacterized. Lineage: Eukaryota; Metazoa; Chordata; Mammalia; Carnivora; Felidae. The record is from RefSeq and is a predicted model, not a curated record. The transcript is spliced from 3 exons.
ACCAAAAUAGUUGUAGCUUAAAUACGGUAGAUCUUUGUUUGUCAGAUAAAAACUGAGAGUGUGCAGCCAGGAUGGGGAAGACGGUCUCACAAUCCUCAGAGCUUUGGAUCCCUCCACGUUGCUUCUUUACCAUCCCCCAUGUGUCUCCCUAGUUUAGCCCAGGUUCCCCAGAAACCAGAGCUUGAGGCAAAAGCAAAGGCACUCACACUUUAUUGGAGAGUACAGCCCCAGGAAGCAAGAUGGAGGGGGAAGGAGAGUGAGGCAGAGGUGGACAGGGUGAACUACAAAGGACUGCAUCACUAAGUUCAUCACAGCUUUUGGCAAAUGCAGCCAACUGUUGGGUCUUGUGGGAUGUUUCCAGAAAGGUCGAUCGGGGCUUGGAUCAGGAAAUGUGGGAGGAGGAAGGGAGAAGAAUUUGUCUGACUGGUCCUCUCUCCCUUUGGUCAAAGUUGACUUUCGCAGGGUCCCUGGACUUCGAGGUGCUACUGUCUGGCAUCUCCUUCAAGGGAAAGCCAGAUCUCCAAACAGCGGCAGAACCAGGCAUGUAGAGCCCAGUGAGUGACUAGGAGUCAGUGGGGCUCUCUACCUUCCCAUCUCAUCCAGGGCACAAUAGGGCCUGGCCUGGAGGACAGUGUCCCCGCUCAGCUCUGCCAGUCAGACUGACACUAUCAUCUCAACCUUAUUGAGGAUGGAUUUAGCAAGCCAAAGCUCCCUGGAAGAGGAAAUUCCUUUCCUGCAGAGCUCUCCAGGAGAAGCAGAGAAAGAUCUCAGCGCUCAGAGAUUAGCUGGGAUUGCUCUGGAGGCAUGUGAUGAUGGUCAUAAUAGCACCAAGGAAUGACAUACUGUUGAUUUGCUCUCAGGCACAGUACCAAGCAUUUGACCUGAAUUAUUCAAUCCACACACCAGUCACAUGAGACGGGUGUUUUUAGUUGUCUCCAUUGUACAGAUGAAGAAACUGAGGUGGAGUGGGGUUAAACCACUUGUCAGGGUCAGUACCAGCAUUGGAUCCCUGCAGCCUGACCUGGGGUCCUCGGCUCUGACCAACUUGGUGAUGUUGUCUUCUCCUGGAAGUUCUUACUGAUCACUUAUAGACAGAUCAGGGAUUUCUUUAUGGCAAGGUAUAUACAAAGGAAAGUGCCGAUAGUCUUUUUAUUUUUAAAACCUUCAAAGAAAGCAGAAAAGUUAGAAGCAGAAACAGAAGAAAAAAAGAUUUAGAUCAAGUAGUAAUUAUUCAAUAAUUCAAGUUUAGAAAGAUACUAGAUUUGGGGCACCUGGGUGGCUCAGUCGGUUAAGUGUCCGACUUCAGCUCAGGUCAUGAUCUCAGUUUGUGAGUUUGAGCCCCGCAACGGGCUCUGUGCUGACAGCUCAGAACCUGGAGCCUGCUUUGGAUUCUGUUUCAUUCUCCUCUGCCCCUCCCCCACUUGUGCUCUGUCUCUCUCAGUCUCUCAAAAAUAAAU